GCAAUACUUGCCCAACGACCACUACAGUAACGUCAUACAAACUUAUGCUAGACUGGCAGCAUGUUCAACUCCAGAUACAGUCCACAAAUAAAUAUCCCACUGUGCCAGUCCAAGCCUGGUUAGCAUUCAAAGUACAGGCCACCAGCAAAUGCACAGAGUAACAAAAUCUCUGAACAAUUUCUGCUUGCAACCUUAGACCUGCAGUGACAACAGACAUUCCAAUGGGUCUUUUGCUAUUUUAUCCUUCAGAAGUAUAGUUAGCUGUUACAUGUCACAUAAGCAAUUGUCUUCCUGCCACCCUUUCCAGCCCUCCCAUGGUU
This is a non-coding RNA of Pelobates cultripes (western spadefoot toad), 320 nucleotides long. The record is from the annotation of a GenBank genome assembly. Lineage: Eukaryota; Metazoa; Chordata; Amphibia; Anura; Pelobatidae.